GACGAACGCUGGCGGCGUGCUUAACACAUGCAAGUCGAACGGAAAGGCCCUGCUUGUGUUGGGUGCUCGAGUGGCGAACGGGUGAGUAACACGUGAGUGACCUGCCCUGGACGUUGGGAUAACGUCAGGAAACUGGGGCUAAUACCGGAUAGGAGCUCCUGCUGCAGGGUGGGGGUUGGAAAGUGUCGGCGGGUGGGGAUGGACUCGCGGCUUAUCAGCUUGUUGGGUGGGUAGUGGCUUACCAAGGCUUCGAGCCGUAGCCGGUCUGAGAGGGCGACCGGCCACACUGGAACGGGGACACGGCCCAGACUCCUACGGGGGGCAGCAGUGGGGAAUUGUGGGCAAAGGGGGCAACCCUUAUCCAGCCAUGCCGCGUGCGGGAAGAAGGCCUUCGGGUUGUAAAGCGCUUUUGUUCGGGAAGAAAUCCUCUGGGCUAAUACCCCGGGGGGAUGACGGUACCGGAAGAAUAAGCACCGGCUAACUACGUG
This 488-nucleotide ribosomal RNA is filed under the name uncultured bacterium. Its description in RNAcentral is "partial 16S ribosomal RNA". It matches the Rfam family "Bacterial small subunit ribosomal RNA", at positions 28 to 507 of the family's 1533-position model. The record is from RNAcentral.